GGUCCGAGUUGUAAUUUGUAGAGGAUGCUUUAGGCGCGGCGCCUUCCGAGUUCCCUGGAACGGGACGCCGGAGAGGGUGAGAGCCCCGUACGGUUGGACGCCUAGCCUGUGUAUAGCUCCUUCGACGAGUCGAGUAGUUUGGGAAUGCUGCUCUAAACGGGAGGUAAAUUUCUUCUAAAGCUAAAUACCGGCCAGAGACCGAUAGCGCACAAGUAGAGUGAUCGAAAGAUGAAAAGCACUUUGAAAAGAGGGUUAAAUAGCACGUGAAAUUGUUGAAAGGGAAGCGUUUGCGACCAGACCUUUUCC
RNAcentral lists this ribosomal RNA (306 nucleotides) under Hypoxylon sp. genotype 417. Its description in RNAcentral is "eukaryotic LSU rRNA". It matches the Rfam family "Eukaryotic large subunit ribosomal RNA", at positions 135 to 441 of the family's 3401-position model. The record is from RNAcentral. Lineage: Eukaryota; Fungi; Ascomycota; Sordariomycetes; Xylariales; Hypoxylaceae.